CGCGUAGGCGGACACUUAAGUCAGGGGUGAAAUCCCGGGGCUCAACCUCGGAACUGCCUUUGAUACUGGGUGUCUUGAGUGUGAGAGAGGUGUGUGGAACUCCGAGUGUAGAGGUGAAAUUCGUAGAUAUUCGGAAGAACACCAGUGGCGAAGGCGACACACUGGCUCAUUACUGACGCUGAGGCGCGAAAGUGUGGGGAGCAAACA
This 207-nucleotide ribosomal RNA is filed under the name uncultured bacterium. RNAcentral describes it as "partial 16S ribosomal RNA". It matches the Rfam family "Bacterial small subunit ribosomal RNA", at positions 568 to 774 of the family's 1533-position model. The record is from RNAcentral.